RNAcentral lists this ribosomal RNA (1431 nucleotides) under Triticum aestivum (bread wheat). RNAcentral describes it as "partial small subunit ribosomal RNA". Lineage: Eukaryota; Viridiplantae; Streptophyta; Magnoliopsida; Poales; Poaceae. The record is from RNAcentral.
AUGGCCACCUCCGCCGCGCCUGCGUCGCCGCACCCGCACGCCCUCUUCCUCCCCUACCCGGCGCAGGGCCACGUCAUCCCGUUCAUGGAGCUCGCCCACCGCUUCCUCGACCGCGGCUUCGCCGUCACCUUCGUCAACACCAGGUUCAACCACCGCCGCGUCGUCGCAGCCGCCGCCGGCGCGACGACGGCGUACUCAUCAGAAGGAGGAGGACGGCUGCGUCUGGUUGCGGUCGACGACGGGAUAGACGACGCCGGGGACCACGAGAACCUCAUCCUGCUCAACGCCGCCAUGCAGGAGGCCAUCCCGCCGCAGCUGGAGGCGCUUCUCGACGGCGAGGACGCGACCGGCGAGGGGCUGGGAAAGGUGACAUGCGUGGUGGUCGACUCCGGCAUGUCGUGGGCGCUGGAUGUUGUGAGGCGUCGGGGGCUCCCGUCGGCCGCGCUCUGGCCGGCGUCUGCGGCCGUGCUCUCGGUGCUGGUCAACGCCAAGAGACUGAUACGCGAUGGCGUCAUCGAUGACGACGGAGCACCCGUUAACUUGGAGAACAACUCAUUCCAUCUCAACGAGUCCGCAACGUCCAUGGACGCGACCUUCCUCGCCUGGAAUUACAUGGGCAACCGUGACGCCGAGCGCCUGGUGUUCCACUACCUCACGUCCACAGCGCAGGCCGCCGCAGCGAAGGCCGACUUCCUCCUCUGCAACACCUUCUCCGACAUCGAGCCGGCCGUCUUCGCCGGCCCCACGCCGGCUACCAUCCUCCCCAUCGGCCCGCUCCGCACAUGGCAGCGACCGACGAGACAUGCGCCCGUGGGGCACUUCUGGCACGCCGACGACGCCGCCUGCAUGUCCUUCCUGGACGCGCAACCCCGCGGAUCCGUCGUGUACGUGGCGUUCGGAAGCAUCAGCAUCAUGACCGCGGCGCAGCUUCAGGAGCUCGCGCUCGGGCUCGAGGCCUCCGGCCGGCCGUUCCUGUGGGUCGUCAGGCCUGAGCAGGCCGACAAGCUCCCAGACGGGUUUGCGGACGCCAUUGACGGGCUCGCGAAGGGCAAAGUGGUCGGCUGGGCACCGCAGGAGCAGGUAUUGGGACACCCCGCGGUGGGCUGCUUUGUCACACACUGCGGGUGGAACUCCACGCUAGAAGGCAUCCGCAAUGGACUGUCCAUGCUGUGCUGGCCAUACUUCACCGACCAGUUCACGAACCAGACAUAUAUAUGUGACAUCUGGAGGGUCGGGCUACGGGUUGCGUCGGCCGAGGGUGGCGGGCUGGUGAUGAAGGAGAGGGUGGUGGAGCUGCUGGAUAGGAUUUUCGAGGACGAAGGUGCCAAGGAAAGGGUGCUGAGGUUGAAGGAGAUGGCGGAGAAAAACAUGAGCGAAGAAGGCGAGUCGUUGAACAAUUUGAAUGUGCUGAUGGAGUCCAUGGGAAGGUAG